CUGGUUCAGUUCCUUAUAGUCAAUUCAAAACCUAAGGGUCCCAUCCUUCUUCUUAAUAAACAACACUAGAGCACCCAUGGGGAAUUACUAGGCCUAAUCAGCCUCUUGGUUAGUAAUGUUGAUAACUGACGGUUCAAUUCCCUAAGUUUUGUACAACCCAAACUAUAGGGAGCCUUGGAAAUUAGGAACGUCCUUUAUAACAGGUCAGUAGAGAACUCGAUCUCCAAUCUGGGUGACAUACCUGAAAGUUCCUCAAGAAAAACAUCUGGAUAGUCACGAAUUGUUUUAUUUGGAGUUUAAUCUAUGACUUCCUAUAUGCAUAAAAGAUGUCAGGAAAGGACAAUUGUUUUAUUUGGCGUUUAAUACACAUGAGUAGAAUAAAAUUCAGAAAAUAAAUACAUUUUAAAAUACAUGUCUUAAUUAGAAAACAAAUGUUCAUGCAACAUAUUAGUGAAAGAGUUUCCUCUUGGGAAGGUG
Molecule: long non-coding RNA, 477 nt
Filed under: Carica papaya (papaya)
Lineage: Eukaryota; Viridiplantae; Streptophyta; Magnoliopsida; Brassicales; Caricaceae
Description: long non-coding RNA (CPAP_LNC005356)
Source: RNAcentral